Long non-coding RNA from Triticum aestivum (bread wheat), 966 nucleotides. RefSeq lists it as uncharacterized. The record is from RefSeq and is a predicted model, not a curated record. NCBI's taxonomy places the organism in Eukaryota, Viridiplantae, Streptophyta, Magnoliopsida, Poales, Poaceae. The transcript has 4 exons.
CUGUUCUAUUCUAGUGGGUGGUUUCUCUGCUCGGGCUGCUGUGCCCGACGCGCGGCGGGGGCGCGAUGACGUGCGUGUGUCACUCCGUGGGGCCGCUGCCGCGUCGCGUGCGUCUGCCAUGCCCAAGCUGCUGAGUGCCCUUCUUCCUCGUCUCCGCCCCGCUGCAACCUCUCCUCGUGCCUCGCCUAGCUUCCUUCGACUGUCCUCUGCUGCGGUCUGUUGCGGUGGCCUCCUUUGCUCUAUGGACGCCGCUGGUUGAGCUUGGUUCGACUUGCCGUUGUCGCCUGCGUCGAGCCGUGGGUCUUUCUGUCCUUCGCGUUCAGGUUGUUUUCCUAGUUCAUCCUGAUGUUUGGAUCGCGUGCUCCUCCAGUCCUCCUUCCUAGCUUUGGUUGUACGAUCUUGCCCGCUGCUGCUUGCCAUUUGGUUAUGUGGUACAGUGUGAAUCCGGUGGCUGCCCAGAUCUGUACUGCGCGUAGGGGCGGGUGUUCUCGGCCAGAGUUGGGCGUUCUUGCUGACUUUCUGUCUAACCUAUCCACAAGUAUACUAGCCAAUUUCUAUUUAUUUGAUUUUCCUUUCCAAGUACUCCCUCAAUUCCUAAAUAUUUGUCUUUCUAGAGAUUUUAAAUGGAACACCACAUACGGAUGUAUAUAGACAUAUUUUAGAGUGUAGAUUCACUCAUUUUGCUCCGUAUGCAGUCACUUGUUGAAAUAUCUAGAAAGACAAAUAUUUAGGAACGGAGGGAGUACAUGCUUUAGUUUAUCCUGGUCUUCGUACCUUUUUUAUGUUACCUUGGUGGUCGAUGCAGAAUCACAAAUGCAAAGCAAGAUGUGCAAAUGUGAGGAUAGACCUAUGAUUCGCGUUCACAACUUGUUCUUGUUAAAAGAACUACUCUACAAGUUUGUUGCAAGUUACAGUAAUUGUGAGGAUAUGAUACCUUAUAGAAAUGAUGCCUUAGUGUUUCUUGCU